GACGAACGCUGGCGGCGUGCUUAACACAUGCAAGUCGAACGGUGAAAGGGGAGCUUGCUCCGCUGGAUCAGUGGCGAACGGGUGAGUAACACGUGGGCAACCUGCCCCUCACUUCGGGAUAACUCCGGGAAACCGGGGCUAAUACCGGAUAUGACCUCCUUGGGCAUCCUUGGAGGUGGAAAGUUUUUCGGUGAGGGAUGGGCCCGCGGCCUAUCAGCUUGUUGGUGAGGUAAUGGCUCACCAAGGCGACGACGGGUAGCCGGCCUGAGAGGGCGACCGGCCACACUGGGACGGAGACACGGCCCAGACUCCUACGGGAGGCAGCAGUGGGGAAUAUUGCGCAAUGGGCGAAAGCCUGACGCAGCAACGCCGCGUGCGGGAUGACGGCCUUCGGGUUGUAAACCGCUUUCAGCAGGGAAGAAGCCGCAAGGUGACGGUACCUGCAGAAGAAGCACCGGCUAACUACGUGCCAGCAGCCGCGGUAA
Molecule: ribosomal RNA, 485 nt
Filed under: uncultured bacterium
Lineage: Bacteria
Description: partial 16S ribosomal RNA
Rfam family: Bacterial small subunit ribosomal RNA
Source: RNAcentral